UGGAGAGUCAAACUGGAAACCUCUUGCUUUGAAGCCUUUUAUCCAUGAUGCAGACCGUAGUCAGUUGCAUUCACUGCAGUUAGUACAGAGCUGGGAGGCGGAGAGGACAGAAUCUGCGUGAAUGUGGUGACUUCAGUAGACCCUAAUAGGAAGUUCAAAUAAUACAGUAUAUGUAUAACAACAUUUCAGCCAGGGAGGAAGAAGAGAACCUGACUACCGAACCAGAAGGGAAAACUGCUACACACCACCCUGGUUAUUAGGCACAGAGAAGACAUC
Chelonoidis abingdonii (Abingdon island giant tortoise) is the source of this 276-nucleotide non-coding RNA. The record is from RefSeq and is a predicted model, not a curated record. Lineage: Eukaryota; Metazoa; Chordata; Testudines; Testudinidae.